GACGAACGCUGGCGGCGUGCCUAAUACAUGCAAGUAGAACGCUGAAGGAGGAGCUUGCUUCUCUGGAUGAGUUGCGAACGGGUGAGUAACGCGUAGGUAACCUGCCUGGUAGCGGGGGAUAACUAUUGGAAACGAUAGCUAAUACCGCAUAAGAGUAGAUGUUGCAUGACAUUUGCUUAAAAGGUGCAAUUGCAUCACUACCAGAUGGACCUGCGUUGUAUUAGCUAGUUGGUGAGGUAACGGCUCACCAAGGCAACGAUACAUAGCCGACCUGAGAGGGUGAUCGGCCACACUGGGACGGAGACACGGCCCAGACUCCUACGGGAGGCAGCAGUAGGGAAUCUUCGGCAAUGGACGGAAGUCUGACCGAGCAACGCCGCGUGAGUGAAGAAGGGUUUCGGAUCGUAAAGCUCGGUUGUAAGAGAAGAACGAGUGUGAGAGUGGAAAGUUCACACUGUGACGGUAUCUUACCAGAAAGGGACGGCUAACUACGUG
This 495-nucleotide ribosomal RNA is filed under the name uncultured bacterium. RNAcentral's name for it is "partial 16S ribosomal RNA". It matches the Rfam family "Bacterial small subunit ribosomal RNA", at positions 28 to 507 of the family's 1533-position model. The record is from RNAcentral.